This 440-nucleotide ribosomal RNA is filed under the name uncultured bacterium. RNAcentral describes it as "bacterial SSU rRNA". It matches the Rfam family "Bacterial small subunit ribosomal RNA", at positions 30 to 475 of the family's 1533-position model. The record is from RNAcentral.
AUUGAACGCUGGCGGCAUGCCUUACACAUGCAAGUCGAACGGCAGCGGACCUUCGGGUGCCGGCGAGUGGCGAACGGGUGAGUAAUAUAUCGGAACGUACCUUUCAGUGGGGGAUAACGUAGCGAAAGUUACGCUAAUACCGCAUAUUCUGUGAGCGGGAAAGCAGGGGAUCGCAAGACCUUGCGCUGAUUGAGCGGCCGAUAUCAGAUUAGCUAGUUGGUGAGGUAAAGGCUCACCAAGGCGACGAUCUGUAGCGGGUCUGAGAGGAUGAUUCGCCACACUGGCACUGAGACACGGUCCAGACUCCUACGGGAGGCAGCAGUGGGGAAUUUUGGACAAUGGGCGCAAGCCUGAUCCAGCCAUGCCGCGUGAGUGAAGAAGGCCUCGGUGUAAGACGUCUUUCGGUCCGGGUAGGAAAGUACGCACACGGUUAAUAACCC